GAAAGGCUUGUGCGGGGUCUGGCGCACCUUCUCCAGGAAGCCAUGCAGGAUGGUGCGCACCGGUCGGCGCCGCUCGCAGCUGCGCGCCCGCCGGGCCACGCCGGCCACCCGCAGGAAGUAGCCCAGGUCCUGGAAGAGGAAUAGUCUGACCACAGGUGGGAAACACACCUACAAGGUUAUCCAUCACAGCUGACAGAAGAGUGGAACAAUGUGAUGCCUGGAGACCAACAUCCCUGGACCCUCUCCUUACUGUCCGUUUUCUCUAUAUAAUUGCCUUAAGAUUCUGUAAUCCUGGAAGAUGGUUUUUUUGAGACAUCUUCCUGAUUAUGCCAGCUAAUUGAAUUAAAACUUACCUUUCUUGAUUCCUA
Equus quagga is the source of this 368-nucleotide long non-coding RNA. RefSeq lists it as uncharacterized. Lineage: Eukaryota; Metazoa; Chordata; Mammalia; Perissodactyla; Equidae. The record is from RefSeq and is a predicted model, not a curated record. The transcript has 2 exons.